AAAAACAUAGUUGGUAAGUUGUGUUUGUAUCAUUCAGUUGGAAGAUACUAACAAGGUAAUCGAUUUUGUUUUAAAAUUUAACAGCAAAAAAUAAAAUAAAACAUGAAUCAUUAUACCGGAAAAUACUAUUGCUAUGUCAACAUCCUGUGUUGAGACGAGUCUUAAUUAUAAAGAAACUUUUAGUAAAUUCAGGAAAAAAGACCUGAAUUGAUAAUCAUUGCUGUUUUUCUUAUACUUGUAAACAUGAUCUAAAGACAAUCGAGUGCCUUUAUGACGUGAUAUCUAGCUCGAGUAUAAAUUUUGUUUUAUGACCUUACAUGAUUGUAUUUGAAGGAGAUCAUAAGAUGACAUUGAUAAGGAAAUACAGCGACCUAUAGUUGUUAAUUUGUGUUUCAUUUUGGUCUCUUUGAGAUUUGUAUCAUUGAAAAUUAUACCACAUCUUCUUUUUUUACGCAUUAUUUUUGUCUCUUGGCUUUUUUGUUUUUGUUGUUGACUGCUAUCUCAUGAAACUGCAUGCGAACUGUACUUAGAUAAGUUAAAUCAUAUUAUUACAUCAUGGAAUACAGGUACGUACGUAGAUAUUGCAAAACAAAGAAAAUGUUUUGUUGUUUUAGUUUGUAUAUUGUAGAUGAAAGUCACAUGUAUUUUGUUGCUUUCUUUGGUCCUUGUCUGCCUUUUUGAGGAUUGCGAAGCAUGGAGGCGUAGAAGAUUUCGAAUUCGAAUUCGAGGAAGGAAGUUUUUUCGGAAAGUUGUAGUUCCUUAUUUGAUUAAGACCCACGGUAAGAGAGAUGCUCUUCUUAGCAACCCAAAUUUAUUCGUUGCUAAGGAAGUAUACGAUCGCUACAAAGCGCAGAAAAUGCAAGCAGAAUUAUCUGGACACCACACAUGUGUAGCUGAUGAUGUAUGCGGGAUGUCAUGUAUCAAAAACGAAUGUACUUGGUACUGUGACAACAUUUGUAACAUAAUGGCCGAUGACAAGGUGAGACUUAGUUAUAAGAAAAGCACACGCAUUUUUUGUUUUUAAGGAAACAAGUUUAUUUUAUUCAACACUGAUGAAUGAAACGCUUUUUUAAUUUUGUCACGAAUCGGGGAAACUUUUGAAUCCAAAAAACAUUAAUAGGUUUGAGAAUUAAAUAAGAGAGCCGAAAGAUACCAACAUGAUAUUCAAACUCAUAAGUCAAGACAAACAUACACCGUCAUGAUAAAAGUAAAAAAAAAGGAACACACAACAUAUAAAAACUAAGAGUCCCAAGAAAAACAAUCCACACCAAAACAUGUGAAAGAUCUCAGUAAAUGCAUCGAUCAGAGUCUGAAGCAGACAUCCUUACACAUUGUGUAACAUAAAUAAGGAUAAAAUAUAUUUUUUUUUAUAAUAAACAUUCCUAUAAAAAUAAAGAAUCAGAUAAUAAUUGAUAUCCGUUUACAAUAGGAAAUAGAAAAUGAAUAUGUUAUAAUCAUGAUAAUGUCUUGAUAUUUGAAUAUUGUUUUUACAAUUUCACCUUUCAAACCAAGAUGAUAAAAAAUUACACUAACAUGCAUAUUUUCUAUAUACAUUUACAGUUUAACUGGCGAGGGGAAUUGGUUGCAUUACCAUGCAAAUUUUCAGCAUACGACUAUACUGGUGCUGGAUACUUUUAUCCGGCAGAUCUGGCCUUCCAUGUCAAUGGGCAUGGCAGAGAAAGCGACAAUAUGAUGGUUUUUAAACGUUUAGAUCAAAAUGGUGAGUGUAUAAUAUUCAAAUAUUGGAGACAAAGUAUAUUUAUGUAACAGAAAUUAUUUCAAGAACUAGAUAUACUAUUUAUGAUUCCGAUGGGUUAACAUUCCCUCGAACAGCAACAUUGCUGUAAAACAAGAUAAUUUAUUAUCCAACUCAAAUUCGGGCAUUACAAAUAGAUUGUGCUAAGAACUUUGAAUAGGAGAACUGUAAUGAUUUCCCAAACUGUCCAUGUCGAAAAAGCUAUGUUCCUUUAAUUUUACAAUUCUUCAAGUAGCAAAGCAACCAUGCAAUUUGAGCAACGGAGGAAUUCCAUGAUACUAAAUAAGUCUUUCCUAUUCCAUGUAUUCAAUAUCAUUACACAAAAAAACAGUAAAUAACAAAAAUACCGAGCUCCAUAGGAAAUUCAAAACUCUCUGUGUGUUACGUUUUUGAUAUGCCUCCUUUUCAGUUAUCAAUUAUUUGUCAUUAAAGGUGAUGGCAGGGUAUCAGAAAUUGAGUUUGGUAAUACAAAGAAACAUCUUCUAAUUGACCAAGAAACCUGUUAAAGAUUUGAUGUGAGUUAUUAUUUAAUACUAUUUUACUUUGAAGUUAUGACAUGCAUUUACUUUUAAUAGAUUAUCAUUAGAAACAAGUAAUCAUAAAGUUUUAUCAAAGAUAUUUAGAAGAAUUGUAAUCUUAGAUAUCUGUCAUUUCAAAAAGUUUCAAUUUGAAUUCCUGUAAAAAAUAUUAUAUUAUAAUCUUAAAUUCUUAUUUAUGAUAUAAAAAUGUGAAUUUUUAGAUUAACAGUGAAUACUGUCAUAUGUGUAAAAAAAAAAAAAAAACAUACUUUCAAACAAAAUAAUCAAUGUCAAAAUGAUUGUUUCGAUUACAUGGAAAUUUAAGUUUUCAAGUUAGUUGAUCAAAUUUACAUGCGAUUAUUUGACAUCCUAUUUUAUGAUAUUUGCGUGUGUUUAUUUUUCGCGAUAGUUAUUAAAACUGUUUUCUAAUUUACAGGUAAUUGGAAAAGAACAACGCCAGAUACACCUAAAAUACGUUUGACAGUUGAUAAAAGUGUUAUUCUUAUUUUUCACGUUAAUCAUAUAUUAUAGUUAGCUGGAAAAUGUUUUUUGCAAAAUAAAUUAUGCAUCAUUCAGAAGUUCGGUUGGUGUUCGUUUGUUUUGUUG
Molecule: long non-coding RNA, 2880 nt
Filed under: Mytilus galloprovincialis (Mediterranean mussel)
Lineage: Eukaryota; Metazoa; Mollusca; Bivalvia; Mytilida; Mytilidae
Source: RNAcentral